CCCAAAGCUUAGCCUAACUGUUGUUUUUAAUUGCACGUGUUAAAUGAAUGUCGAUUCCGAUCACCCAUCAUUUAUACAGAUUGUUUUAGUUUGUUUCUUGUGGUAGUGAUGACGACGAGAUAUAUGCAAAGAGGAAACCACAAGGCCAUCAUCAGAUGCACUUCAUAAUUCUUCAGACUCCUGGACGACAUCAGAUGUAGACAUGGCACUGUCUGGAAUGAUAACAUUUGGGUUGUGUGUAGUCUUAAUUGAUUGUUUAAAUGGACAAAUUACGCACCCUGAUCCUGUGGUAUUUAAGGCAAGUGGUAGAGCAGCUCGAGUCCAAUGCAAAGUGGAUUCAUCGACACUUCGGUCCAGCGUUAUCCACUGGUACAGAGCUCCACCGAAGGGAGCUCUCCAACGUUUAAUGUAUUUCGAAGCUGGUUCGCCAAAGGCCACAAAAGACCCCGAUACCCCCCGUAGAUUUUCUGGAUCGGUGAGCGGCGAUGUAGUGGCACUGACUAUCUCAAAGCUGGAGCCCAGUGAUGAGGGAUCGUAUUACUGCGCGCUCUGGAGUGGAGACAACACAGUGCUAACUAUGAGAGGAAAUCAUUACAAAAACCUGCUUUCAUCAUCAAAGCGCUUUUAUUUUGAACAGCAGCAAGGAGGAGACAUUAGACAUAUUUUUACUGUGAUGUUGCUCUUUCUUGUCAAGAUUUAAUUAAAGAAUAAGGUUAAAUGUUCCAAAAGUGUAUUGUCUCAGAAGAAAGAACCACAAAGUUCCACAAUGUUUGCUAGAUAGGCUACUGUACCAUAUUGACUGUUAAC
Non-coding RNA from Cyprinus carpio (common carp), 807 nucleotides. NCBI's taxonomy places the organism in Eukaryota, Metazoa, Chordata, Actinopteri, Cypriniformes, Cyprinidae. The record is from the annotation of a RefSeq genome assembly.